This 1334-nucleotide ribosomal RNA is filed under the name sediment metagenome. RNAcentral's name for it is "bacterial LSU rRNA". It matches the Rfam family "Bacterial large subunit ribosomal RNA", at positions 742 to 1985 of the family's 2925-position model. The record is from RNAcentral.
AGGCUGAAGCGAGGCUAACCCCUCGUGGAGGGCCGAACCUUUCGCUGUUGCAAAAGCGUGGGAUGAGCUGUGGGUAGAGGUGAUAUGCCUAACGAACUUGGAGAUAGCUUGUUCUCCCCGAAAUAGCUUUAGGGCUAGCCUCGCGUGUUGAGUAUCGGAGGUAGAGCACUGGAUGGGCUAGGGGGGUUAUAACCUACCAAACCCAACCAAACUCCGAAUGCCGAUAUUUUAAAGCGCGAGAGUCGGACCACGGGAGAUGAGUUUCGUGGUCGAGAGGGAAAGAGCCCAGACCGACGGUUAAGGUCCCAAAGUUCAGGCUAAGUGGGAAACGAGGUGGGAUCGCUUAGACAGCCAGGAGGUUGGCCUAGAAGCAGCCAUCCUUUAAAGAGUGCGUAAUAGCUCACUGGUCAAGUGAUCCUGCGCGGAAAAUAUAUCGGGGCUCAAGCCUGACACCGAAGCCACGGGCUUCUUAGCCGUUAGCUGUGAGCAGUUAGUAGUUAGCCGCAAGCGUUACAAAGGGCUAUAACCAUUGACUGUUGACAGCUAAUGGCUAAGGAGUGGUAGGGGAGCGUUCUGCAUGCAGUGAAGCUGUACUGUGAGGAGCAGUGGAGCGUGCAGAAGUGAGAAUGCCGGCAUGAGUAGCGUAAAACACGUGAGAACCGUGUUCACCGUAUGUCUAAGGUUUCCGACGGAAGGUCAGUCCGCGUCGGGUUAGUCGGUCCUAAGCCGAGGCCGAAAGGCGUAGGCGAUGGACAUCCGGUUAAUAUUCCGGAACCACCUGAGGGGAGCGAUGGGGGGACGCAGCAUGGUAGACCAGCCCGUUAUUGGAUUCGGGUGCUAAGCCUGUAGGAUGUUGAUGGAGGUAGGGAAAUCCGCCUCCGGAGUCUGAGAGGUGAUGGUGGGCCAUAGAGCCAGAAGUGGUUGAGCCAAGCUGCCAAGAAAAGCCUCUAAGCUAUGAAUCUCGGGUGACCGUACCGCAAACCGACACUGGUAGACGAGUAGAGUAUACUAAGGUGAACGGGAGAACCCUCGUUAAGGAACUAGGCAAAAUGACCCCGUAACUUCGGGAGAAGGGGUGCCCCGCUAGGGUGAGGUAAUUAUACCAAGCCUGAGGGGGUCGCAGUGACAUGGCUCUGCCGACUGGUUACCAAAACCACAGGUCUCUGCAAACUCGUAAGAGGAUGUAUAGGGGCUGACGCCUGCCCAGUGCCGGAAGGUUAAAGGGAGGAGUUAGUCUUCUUCGGAAGGCAAAGCUUCGAACUGAAGCCCCGGUGAACGGCGGCCGUAACUAUAACGGUCCUAAGGUAGCGAAAUUCCUUGUCGGGUAAGUUCCG